CUAUACAUGCAGUCGAGCGGACAGAAGGGAGCUUGCUCCCGGAUGUUAGCGGCGGACGGGUGAGUAACACGUGGGUAACCUGCCUGUAAGACUGGGAUAACUCCGGGAAACCGGAGCUAAUACCGGAUAGUUCCUUGAACCGCAUGGUUCAAGGAUGAAAGACGGUUUCGGCUGUCACUUACAGAUGGACCCGCGGCGCAUUAGCUAGUUGGUGAGGUAACGGCUCACCAAGGCGACGAUGCGUAGCCGACCUGAGAGGGUGAUCGGCCACACUGGGACUGAGACACGGCCCAGACUCCUACGGGAGGCAGCAGUAGGGAAUCUUCCGCAAUGGACGAAAGUCUGACGGAGCAACGCCGCGUGAGUGAUGAAGGUUUUCGGAUCGUAAAGCUCUGUUGUUAGGGAAGAACAAGUGCAAGAGUAACUGCUUGCACCUUGACGGUACCUAACCAGAAAGCCACGGCUAACUACGUGCCAGCAGCCGCGGUAAUACGUAGGUGGCAAGCGUUGUCCGGAAUUAUUGGGCGUAAAGGGCUCGCAGGCGGUUUCUUAAGUCUGAUGUGAAAGCCCCCGGCUCAACCGGGGAGGGUCAUUGGAAACUGGGAAACUUGAGUGCAGAAGAGGAGAGUGGAAUUCCACGUGUAGCGGUGAAAUGCGUAGAGAUGUGGAGGAACACCAGUGGCGAAGGCGACUCUCUGGUCUGUAACUGACGCUGAGGAGCGAAAGCGUGGGGAGCGAACAGGAUUAGAUACCCU
This 755-nucleotide ribosomal RNA is filed under the name Bacillus altitudinis. RNAcentral's name for it is "bacterial SSU rRNA". It matches the Rfam family "Bacterial small subunit ribosomal RNA", at positions 49 to 788 of the family's 1533-position model. The record is from RNAcentral. Lineage: Bacteria; Bacillati; Bacillota; Bacilli; Caryophanales; Bacillaceae.